AUGAAGAUCUGGACUUCGGAGCACGUCUUUGACCACCCAUAGGAAACUGUUACAACAGCUGCAAUGCAGAAAUACUCAAACCCUAUGAGCCCAAGUGUGGUUGGAGUUAAUGUGUUGGACAGACAUAUAGAUCUGUCUGGAAAGUUGCACAGCCAUAGACUUCCCAGCACAGAGUAGGGACUGCUGUCCAUUGUGAAGUCUCUUAUUGGUGCAGCAAAAACCAAAACAUGUGUGUGAGAACAUUCUGUUGAUCCUGUAGAGAAAGCAAUGGAACUUAAAUCUACUAAUAUUUCAUUUGCAAAUAUGGUUUCAGUAGAUGAGAGACAUAUAAAAACCACAUCCUCAGGACCCAGAAGGAACCAUUUUGACUCAACAAGCCGUAAUCACCAUGAAAGGAGUUAGCCUUAGUGGUUACCCUGAAGGACUGAUGGUAAGUACAAUAUCCUCAAGUGCUAGUAAAGGUGAAGAAGCAGUGGAAUGGGUAAUACACAAAUUAAAUGCUGAGAGAUUGAAGAAUUGACAGCCUCGGCAAGAGGAAGC
Molecule: long non-coding RNA, 540 nt
Filed under: Homo sapiens (human)
Lineage: Eukaryota; Metazoa; Chordata; Mammalia; Primates; Hominidae
Description: non-protein coding lnc-MARK1-5:1
Source: RNAcentral